GUAGGUGGCAAGCGUUGUCCGGAAUUGUUGGGCGUAAAGCGCGCGCAGGCGGUUCUUUAAGUCUGAUGUGAAAGCCCACGGCUCAACCGUGGAGGGUCAUUGGAAACUGGAGAACUUGAGUACAGAAGAGGAAAGCGGAAUUCCACGUGUAGCGGUGAAAUGCGUAGAGAUGUGGAGGAACACCAGUGGCGAAGGCGGCUUUCUGGUCUGUAACUGACGCUGAGGCGCGAAAGCGUGGGGAGCAAACAGGGAUUAGAUACCCUGGUAGUCCACGCCGUAAACGAUGAGUGCUAAGUGUUAGGGGGUUUUCCGCCCCCUUAGUGCUGCAGCUAACGCAUUAAGCACUCCGCCUGGGGAGUACGGCCGCAAGGCUG
RNAcentral lists this ribosomal RNA (374 nucleotides) under uncultured organism. Its description in RNAcentral is "partial 16S ribosomal RNA". It matches the Rfam family "Bacterial small subunit ribosomal RNA", at positions 527 to 896 of the family's 1533-position model. The record is from RNAcentral.